GUAAGGAAUAUUGGGCAAUGGAUGCAAGUCUGACCCAGCCAUCCCGCGUGCCGGAAGAAGGCCCUCAGGGUUGUAAACGGCUUUUGACGGUGAAGAAUCGACAGGAUGCGUCCUGUUUUGACGGUAGCCGUUGAAUAAGCACCGGCUAACUCCGUGCCAGCAGCCGCGGUAAUACGGAGGGUGCGAGCGUUGUCCGGAUUUAUUGGGUUUAAAGGGUGCGUAGGCUGGAAGGUCAGUCAGCGGUGAAAAGCUGUCGCUUAACGAUAGUCUUGCCGCAGAUACUUCCUUUCUUGGAUGAGGAGGAGGCCACUGGAACGGAUGGUGUAGCGGUGAAAUGCAUAGAUAUCAUCCAGAACACCGAUUGCGAAGGCAGGUGGCUGUACCUUAAUCGACGCUGAUGCACGAAAGCAUGGGGAGCAAACAGGAUUAGAAACCCGGGUAGUCC
Molecule: ribosomal RNA, 445 nt
Filed under: uncultured bacterium
Lineage: Bacteria
Description: partial 16S ribosomal RNA
Rfam family: Bacterial small subunit ribosomal RNA
Source: RNAcentral